Citrus sinensis (sweet orange) is the source of this 91-nucleotide non-coding RNA. NCBI's taxonomy places the organism in Eukaryota, Viridiplantae, Streptophyta, Magnoliopsida, Sapindales, Rutaceae. The record is from Rfam.
UUUGGAUCAAUGAUGUUAUUAUUAUACUGCGUUAUCUAUCUGCAACUCCCUAAAAGGAAUUGAAGAUACUUGUUGUUGGCUGAGAUCCAAA